UACGUAGGGUGCGAGCGUUGCCCGGAUUUAUUGGGCGUAAAGGGCGCGUAGGUGGCUCGGCACGUCCGUUGUGAAAUCGCUCGGCUCAACUGGGCGAGGUCAGCGGAUACGGUCGAGCUUGAGCCAGCUAGGGGGCAAUGGAAUUCCCGGUGUAGUGGUGGAAUGCGUAGAUAUCGGGAGGAACACCAGUGGCGAAGGCGGUUGCCUGGGGCUGUGCUGACGCUGAUGCGCGAAAGCGUGGGGAGCGAUCCGG
RNAcentral lists this ribosomal RNA (253 nucleotides) under uncultured bacterium. Its description in RNAcentral is "partial 16S ribosomal RNA". It matches the Rfam family "Bacterial small subunit ribosomal RNA", at positions 524 to 776 of the family's 1533-position model. The record is from RNAcentral.